AUUGAACGCUGGCGGCAUGCUUUACACAUGCAAGUCGAACGGUAACAGGCCUUCGGGUGCUGACGAGUGGCGAACGGGUGAGUAAUGCAUCGGAACGUACCCAGAGGUGGGGGAUAACGCAGCGAAAGCUGUGCUAAUACCGCAUGUGAUCUGAGGAUGAAAGCGGGGGACCGAGCAGCAAUGUUUGGCCUCGCGCCUUUGGAGCGGCCGAUGUCGGAUUAGCUAGUUGGUGGGGUAAAGGCCUACCAAGGCGACGAUCCGUAGCUGGUCUGAGAGGACGACCAGCCACACUGGGACUGAGACACGGCCCAGACUCCUACGGGAGGCAGCAGUGGGGAAUUUUGGACAAUGGGCGCAAGCCUGAUCCAGCAAUGCCGCGUGCGGGAAGAAGGCCUUCGGGUUGUAAACCGCUUUUGGCAGGAACGAAACGGUGUCCGCUAAUACCAGGCGCUAAUGACGGUACCUGCAGAAUAAGCACCGGCUAACUACGUG
This 492-nucleotide ribosomal RNA is filed under the name uncultured bacterium. RNAcentral describes it as "partial 16S ribosomal RNA". It matches the Rfam family "Bacterial small subunit ribosomal RNA", at positions 29 to 507 of the family's 1533-position model. The record is from RNAcentral.